RNAcentral lists this transfer RNA (77 nucleotides) under Myxococcales bacterium. RNAcentral's name for it is "tRNA-Arg". It matches the Rfam family "tRNA". Rfam says of the family: Transfer RNA (tRNA) molecules are approximately 80 nucleotides in length. Their secondary structure includes four short double-helical elements and three loops (D, anti-codon, and T loops). Further hydrogen bonds mediate the characteristic L-shaped molecular structure. tRNAs have two regions of fundamental functional importance: the anti-codon, which is responsible for specific mRNA codon recognition, and the 3' end, to which the tRNAs corresponding amino acid is attached (by aminoacyl-tRNA synthetases). tRNAs cope with the degeneracy of the genetic code in two manners: having more than one tRNA (with a specific anti-codon) for a particular amino acid; and 'wobble' base-pairing, i.e. permitting non-standard base-pairing at the 3rd anti-codon position. Lineage: Bacteria; Pseudomonadati; Myxococcota; Myxococcia; Myxococcales. RNAcentral also lists the same sequence under 2 other names. The record is from RNAcentral.
GGCCCAGUAGCUCAGCUGGAUAGAGCGUCGGCCUCCGAAGCCGAAGGUCGCAGAUUCGAAUUCUGCCUGGGUCACCA